UACGUAGGGGGCGAGCGUUGUCCGGAUUUAUUGGGCGUAAAGAGCGUGUAGGCGGCCAGGUAGGUCUGCUGUGAAAACUCGAGGCUCAACCUCGAGACGUCGGCGGAAACCAUCUGGCUAGAGUCCGGAAGAGGAGAGUGGAAUUCCUGGUGUAGCGGUGAAAUUCGUAGAUAUUCGGAAGAACACCAGUGGCGAAGGCGGCUCACUGGACCGGUAUUGACGCUGAGGUGCGAAAGCGUGGGGAGCAAACAGG
This 253-nucleotide ribosomal RNA is filed under the name uncultured bacterium. RNAcentral's name for it is "partial 16S ribosomal RNA". It matches the Rfam family "Bacterial small subunit ribosomal RNA", at positions 524 to 776 of the family's 1533-position model. The record is from RNAcentral.